UAUAGUUAACUUUGAUAGGUUUAAUCGAGACUUAUUGUUUCUGGAUAAAAAGAAGGUUGGAAGAAGUAGUGAGGAGAUUUAUGUGAGUAAAUUUAAGUAUGUUGAUAACUAGUUAAAAUCGUGCCAGCAGCUGCGGUUAUACGGUUAGAGGGAUUAAGGGGUUAGUUAAUAGCUUAAGAGAUAAAAUGGGAGGUGAAAUUCGGAAUUUGGGAUAAAAGGCAUGUGAGGGGUGUUACUAAACAGAUUAGGUACCUGUGUAGGGAGGAUAAUUAAUAUGAGAGGAAUAUUUUAAUGGUGUGGCGGUACGUUUGAAAGGUAGGGGGACUUGAAAAGGAUAGUUAACCUAAAGAGGAAUUAUUUUGUCUUCUUGUAUGAUUGUUUAGAUUGACGUGCGAUCUUAAGCAAAUUUCACGAGGGUUGGUUUUACAAUUUUGAGUUUUGAGAGUAGUUAGAGGCAAAGGAUUUAUGAGUAAUGGAGAUGGGAUGAAUAUAUCAAAUGUGAGUACAUAUUGCCCGUCAACACCCCCAGGGUGUAAGUCGUAACACAGUGACUCUACUUGAAAGUGGAGUUGUUCUUGU
Molecule: ribosomal RNA, 579 nt
Filed under: Sphaerirostris picae
Lineage: Eukaryota; Metazoa; Acanthocephala; Palaeacanthocephala; Polymorphida; Centrorhynchidae
Description: small subunit ribosomal RNA
Source: RNAcentral